RNAcentral lists this long non-coding RNA (432 nucleotides) under Trifolium pratense (red clover). RNAcentral describes it as "long non-coding RNA (TPRA_LNC013632)". Lineage: Eukaryota; Viridiplantae; Streptophyta; Magnoliopsida; Fabales; Fabaceae. The record is from RNAcentral.
AUAUUUCACCAUAACACGUAUUUUCUUAUAGAUCAUAGAUUAAGUCAUUAGUUUCAAUAUUUAAAUUUUCAUACAAACUUACACGACAUAAAGACAAAGUCGCUUAUUCUUAACUUAUUUUUUUGUUGGUCAAGUAGCCUAGUGGCUAGAAAUUCCACCCUUAAGAUGGAUAAGUGGGAUGACCAGAGUUCGAACCCUGGCCCCCUGCAUAUAUAAUGCAAUAUCCCUGCCAACUGAGCUAAGCUCACGAGACCGCUUAUUCUUAACUUAAUACAUAAGCUACUGCUACUAUAAUUUAUGUAUCCUUAAUUAGGCAAUAUUGCCAUACUUUGCCUUAUAAUCUUUCCACAGUUGAUCAACCGUUUUCCCCAAAAGCUGAACAAAGUAUUGAUCACUAUAACCAUUCCUCAUCAACUUAUUCAAUUCUGCCAC